RNAcentral lists this ribosomal RNA (253 nucleotides) under uncultured bacterium. Its description in RNAcentral is "partial 16S ribosomal RNA". It matches the Rfam family "Bacterial small subunit ribosomal RNA", at positions 524 to 776 of the family's 1533-position model. The record is from RNAcentral.
UACGAAGGGGGCUAGCGUUGUUCGGAAUCACUGGGCGUAAAGGGCGCGUAGGCGGGGAGGUAAGUCGGGUGUGAAAUCCCUCGGCCCAACCGAGGAACUGCGCCCGAGACUGCUUCUCUUGAGUCCCGGAGAGGAAGAUGGAAUUCCCGGUGUAGCGGUGAAAUGUGUAGAGAUCGGGAGGAACACCGGUGGCGAAGGCGGUCUUCUGGACGGUGACUGACGCUGAGGCGCGAAAGCGUGGGGAGCAAACAGG